AUGCAGGAGGAACUCGGCGAGUAUUUCCACUCUAAGGGACAGGGGGCAGCACUUCGCAGGUUUACUCUUGGAUGCAAAGGACAGGGGGUAAGAGGACAUUUGAACAUACAACCAGGCAAUAAAAGAAGAGGUAUAUUCUUAGUUAUGAUGUCCAGGUUCGAGCUUUGGAGAACCAUGCCCCGGAGAGUGCAGUUCCUAGGUGAAUUUCAGAUCCCUUCAGUCCGUCCGCGUGGACUUCACCCAGGACACGGAACCAGGCACACGGAGCGGAGGACUGACCGGGCCAGGAGCUCCUGGGCCCUCUGCCUAAGGCUUCUGCUCCUCACUGUCUCCCGCCAAAGUCACGCCUCCUUGCAAAUGCGGAUGAAGAGUCUGGGAAGACGUGUCUGUCCUAACCUGAUGAUUGGGUGCUGACUUGAUGUCCCUGCAAUAUCUUUUUUUUUUUUAAGUUUAUUUGAGGGGGGAAGCACGAGUGAGGGAGGGGCAGAGAGAGAGGAAGAGAGAGAGUCCCAAGCAGGCUCCCUGCUGUCAGCGUGGAGCCGAACACGGGGCUCUAUCCCACGCCCCUGGGGUCAUGACCUGAGCCAAACUCAAGAGUCAGAUGCUCCACCUACUGAGCCACCCAGGCGCCCUGUCACGGUGACAUCUUGGGCGAACCCUCACUUGAGCGCUACUUCCCUGUCUGCAUCUAUGGUUGAUUGCAUGUGUCUUUCCUCACCUAUGACCUUCUAGAGAGCAGGCAAUAUUUCUUGCUAUCACGAUCUCUUCAGGACCUAAAAUAACACACUGCUUAUAGUACGUGCUCAGUAAAAUGUCUGUUGAGAAAAUGAACUGGAUGGAUGAAUGAACAUACGGACAGCCAGAGUUGGAUGGAUCCAACUGGGGAAAUAAGCCUAGGAUAAAAAUUACUAAGCCUGUAAGGAGCAUCAUAAGGAAGCUUCUUAAAAAGUGUAACAGUUGUUCUAAAGGGUCAGAGACAAUCAAGGUGGAUGCAAGUAAAGAAGAAAAGUUACCUAAAUAACAGGCAUUCAGUGUGAGGGGUAAAAGCAAUGUUAGUUCAUAUCCUGUGAAACUUCAAGUCACAAAAAAAUUAGAAAUAACCUGGAUUUUUAUCCUGACAGUGAAGAAUCUUAAUUUUUUUUAAUGUCUAUUUGUGAGAGAGUCAGAGCAUGAGUGGGAGAAGGGCAGAGAACGAGGGAGACACAGAAUCCAGAGCAGGCUCCAGGCUCCAGGAGGUCAGCAUCGAGCCCAACGCAGGGCUCGAACUCAUGAGCUGUGAGAUCAGGACCUGAGCUGAAGUUGGAUGCUCAACCGACUGAGCCACCCAGGCGCCCCCUGACAGUGAGGCAUCUUAGUGACCCCUUUGGUUGUUUGCAUAUAUACCCUUACACGCCAACAAAUAAAAGGCUCUGACUGUAUUCUGGUUGAAGUAAAAGAACAAUAGUGAUGGAUGAAUAUGAAGUUGGAGUUUAAAACCCUGAUUUUUAUUGAGAUAUGACUCUGAUGCACAUCGGAAAUAUUUUGAGCCAUGGAAUUAUAACCAAAGGCCAGAAAGAAGUUCCAAAAAGCCGAAGACCUAUCCUUCUGAAGUUUACAUUUUCAGAGUAGUUUUGCAAAAACAUGAAAUCUUUGAAUUAAAACUAUUCUUCAAAGCCACCUCUGUAACCAUCUUCUCGGAGCAAGAUUUUUCUCUUCAUUAAGCACAGACGUGUCCAAGGCUUGAAUUUCUCAAUUUAAUAAGUCAGUCUAUUCUGUAUUUUGACAACUCUUAUUCUUUGGAAAUCGGUGUUUAUAAUAAUUCCAAACCUGACUCCUUAAUACAUGUACCCGAUGUCCUCUCUA
This is a long non-coding RNA of Suricata suricatta (meerkat), 1842 nucleotides long. The record is from Ensembl. NCBI's taxonomy places the organism in Eukaryota, Metazoa, Chordata, Mammalia, Carnivora, Herpestidae.